CGAGGGGCAGCAUGGAAGUUGCUUGCAACUUCUGAUGGCGACCGGCGAAUGGGUGAGUAACGCGUAUCCAACCUGCCCUGUGCCCGGGAAUAGCCCUUGGAAACGAGGAUUAACGCCCGAUGGCGUGCGAUGACCGCAUGGGAAAUGCACUAAAUGCGAAGGCACGGGAUGGGGAUGCGUUCCAUUAGGUUGUUGGCGGGGUAACGGCCCACCAAGCCUUCGAUGGAUAGGGGUUCUGAGAGGAAGGUCCCCCACAUUGGAACUGAGACACGGUCCAAACUCCUACGGGAGGCAGCAGUGAGGAAUAUUGGUCAAUGGGCGGAAGCCUGAACCAGCCAAGUAGCGUGAGGGAUGACGGCCCUACGGGUUGUAAACCUCUUUUAUGCGGGGAUAAAGUGCUCCACGCGUGGAGUUUUGCAGGUACCGCAUGAAUAAGGACCGGCUAAUUCCGUGCCAGCAGCCGCGGUAAUACGGAAGGUCCGGGCGUUAUCCGGAUUUAUUGGGUUUAAAGGGAGCGCAGGCGGAGGGUCAAGUCAGCCGUAAAAUCGUCCUGCUCAACAGGAUCCCGCGGUUGAAACUGGUCCCCUUGGGUGCACAAGAGGCACGCGGAACUCGUGGUGUAGCGGUGAAAUGCAUAGAUAUCACGAAGAACGCCGAUUGCGAAGGCAGCGUGCUGGGGUGUAACCGACGCUCACGCUCGAAGGCGCGGGUAUCAAACAGGAUUAGAUACCCUGGUAGUCCGCGCAGUAAACGAUGGAUGC
Molecule: ribosomal RNA, 761 nt
Filed under: uncultured bacterium
Lineage: Bacteria
Description: bacterial SSU rRNA
Rfam family: Bacterial small subunit ribosomal RNA
Source: RNAcentral